Long non-coding RNA from Diorhabda carinulata, 771 nucleotides. RefSeq lists it as uncharacterized. The transcript has 2 exons. Lineage: Eukaryota; Metazoa; Arthropoda; Insecta; Coleoptera; Chrysomelidae. The record is from RefSeq and is a predicted model, not a curated record.
UGUUAUACAGUGUCAUCUGUGCUAUAACUAAAUUAUUUGGGGUUUUUCAUAUUUAUUAUAAUUGAUUUGUAGUUGAAUAUUAAAUUUUUUGAUAAUUGAUGAAAAUUUUGACAUGAAGCACACAACUUAAAAUCGGCGAGUUGUUAUACAGCGUUGAAUAUUGAAUUUUUAGACAGGAAUGUUAAGUUGUUUCAUACAUACAAAUAGUAGUAAACUAAUGAGUUGAUGUAAGAUGUUAAGAUGCAUGCAGGAAGAAUUAACAUUCGUAGCUGCAAAAAAGGAGCAUUUAAGCAAAACGGACUCCAAAUGCGAAUCAGAUUAAACUUUGAAAACCAGAUUGAAAAACUGGGCUAAAUCAAAACAAGUGGGUUCGAGAGCAAUAUGUCUUGAAAGAAUCAACAAGAAAUAAAACCUAGAGAUGAACAUAAAAUUAAAAUUCCAAUUAUAAAUUAAAUAUCUCAUAGUUUAUAUCAAAAGAUUCUGAUGGUAUUAUAUUCUUCUUGGUGAGGUGAAGUAAAAGUGCUAUAAAUAUAUAAAAGAUUGAAUUUUUCAUUUUGUGAUGGUAGGUCACUACCUUGUGGUAAAAAAUAACUUUGUGCGCGGUAUAUUAAAUGCUUUUAUUGAUAAGAAUAAAAACUGAACAAAAACUCUGCAAGAUAAUAUAUGAAAAAUAAACAAAUCAUUCGUGCUCCUAAUAAUACCUUUACCUAAUUAGUGAUUGCAUAAAUCCUGCAAAGAUAAAAGAGAUUAAAAUUUUCUAUAAAAGUAAAA